UUAAUCUAUUUAAAGCAUUUAGUGGAUGCCUAGACAGAAGAAGAGAAGGGACGUUAAACGCAACGAAACGCCAGAGAUAGGUGCGUCAAUCCAUAAAUCUCUGGAUUUCCUUAAGAAAACUCUAUGAUUAUCAAUUACCUAGUGAACUGAAACAUCUAAGUAACUAGAGGAAAAAAAAUCAACCGAGAUUCCGUUAGUAGUGGUGAGCGAAUGCGGAGUAGGCCUUCAUUUCUUUCUUUUUUUUGGGGUUAAAUUUGUUUGGAACAACAAGCCAAAGAAGGUGAUAGCCCUGUAGACACCCAAAAAAAAACAAAAAAAAUGAAAAAAAAUGAGUAAAACGAAGAUCACCUUUGUUUGAAUUGAAGAUUUAUUUUUUUUAAAUCUUCUCAAGGGGGACCACCCUCUAAGCCUAAAUAUAUUCUUCUGAUCGAUAGUGAACUAGUACCGUGAGGGAAAGGUGAAACAGAGCGUUAAACAAAGCAGUGAAAAAGAUCCUGAAACUGAAUGCUUACAAGCAGUCGAAGCUUUUUUUAAGAGUAACGGCGUACCUUUUGCAUAAUGGGUCAGCGAGUAAAUUUAUGGAGCAAGCCUAAGCUCAUAAGUGGAGGCGGAGUGAAAGCAAGCUUGAAAAGAGCAAAUAAGGUAAACUUUUUCUUCUUUGGAGAAAAAAAAACCUGCGAAGUUCCAUAAAUUUGACCCGAAACCAAGCGAUCUAAUCAUGAGCAGGUUGAAAAAAUGAUAAUACGUUUUGGAGGACCGAACCCACAUCUGUGGCAAUAGAUGGGGAUGACUUGUGAUUAUGGGGUGAAAAGCCAAUCGAGCUUGGAAAUAGCUGGUUUUCUGCGAAAUCUAUUGAGGUAGAGCGUAUCGGAGCCAAAUAAAAUUAUUUGGUUAGCAAGGUAAAAAGGAGGUAGAGCACUCAUUGGGUGAUGGUGGCCCAAAGCCUUACUGAUCCCAGGGAAACUCCGAAUACCUUUUUAUUCGCGAUACAGACAGACUUGAGGCGCUAAGGUCUCAAGUCGAAAGGGAAACAACCCAGAUCGAACGCUAAGGUUCCAAAGCAAAUUCUGAGUGGUAAAGGAAGUUACUAGGCGAAGACAACCAGGAGGUAGGCUUGGAAGCAGCCAUCCUUUUAAGAAAGCGUAAUAGCUCACUGGUCUAUGUCUAGUAGCACCUAAAAUGUAUCGGAGCUCAAGAAUUUCACCGAAGCGGCGAUUUUCAAUCAGAGUCAACUCAUUCAUUGACAAAAACAUUGUUUUUGUCGCGAAUUGAAAGUGUGUCGAUUGAAAAGGUAGCAGAACGUUCUGUAAGUCAACGACGCUUCAUUGUAAAAUGAAGUAGAGAUAUCAGAAGUGAGAAUGCUGACAUGAGUAACGACAAAUCAUGUGAAAAUCAUGAUAGCCGAAAGUCCUAGGUUUUCUACAGACCGUAUCUCGGUGUAGAGUGAAUCGGCCCCUAAAAGAAGAGCGACAGCUUGGUCUUGAUGGGUACAAUGUAAAAAAAUUCAUUGAUGUAAAAUUUAGUGACGGCCAUUCAUCUCCUUACCAAGUUAAUGGAUAUCUUGGCGUUCUCUUUAGAGAAAAAAAGGAGAGAUUGGUCCAGGAAAUAACUAGAUUUUAUUCUAAAUUUUUUUAAUUUAGAAAAAAACACCGUACUUAAACCGACACUGGUGGACUUGUUGUAAAAACUAAGGCUAAGAGAGAAUCAUGUUGAAGGAACUCGGCAAAUUACCUCCGUAACUUCGGAAAAAGGAGGACAUGGAGCAAUUUUCUAAUUUUAGAAAAUUGCCCGUGUGUCACAAAAGAGGGGGUGGCGACUGUUUACUAAAAACACAGGACUCUGCUAAGUGGUAACACGAUGUAUAGGGUCUGACACCUGCCCGGUGCUGGAAACUUAACAGGAGGGGUGCGCACAUGGUGCCUUAUUUCUUACAAAAAACUCUGUUUUUUGUAAGAAAUAAGGUAAAAAGUGUGCAAGCUCUAAAUGCAAGGCCCAGUAAACGGCGGCCGUAACUCUGACGGUCCUAAGGUAGCGAAAUUCCUUGUCGGGUAAGUUCCGACCUGCAUGAAUGGUGUCACGACUUCCCCGCUGUCUCCAACAUGAUCUCAGUGAAAUUGAAUUCUCCGUGAAGAUGCGGAGUUCCCGAAAGUAGACGGUAAGACCCUAUGCACCUUUACUAUAAUUUAACAUUGAAAAAAGAGUCUGAAUGUGUAGAAUAGGUGGGACAAGGCUUAGCCUAGCUAAGUCUUGGUCAAUGAAAUACCACCCUUUCUUUCUCAUUUUUCUAACCUUCCAAAAUGAAAAACAGAAAAAAAUAAAAACGCUUUAUACCUUUUCUGGGAAAGGACACUGUUAAAUGGGUAGUUUGACUGGGGCGGUCGCUUCCUAAAGAGUAACGGAAGUGUGCGAAGGUAAGCUCAAGCUGGACGGAAAUCAGCUGUAGAGCGUAAUGGUAUAAGCUUGCCUGACUGUAAGACUUACAAGUCAAGCAGAGACGAAAGUCGGCCAUAGUGACCCGGGAGUUCUUGGUGGAAAGGCUCUCGAUCAACGGAUCAAAGGUACGCUAGGGAUAACAGGCUGAUGACUCCCAAGAGCUCUUAUCGACGGAGUCGUUUGGCACCUCGAUGUCGACUCAUCGCAUCCUCGAGCUGAAGAAGGUUCGAAGGGUUCGGCUGUUCGCCGAUGAAAGCGGUACGUGAGUUGGGUUUAGUACGUCGUGAGACAGUACGGAUCCUAUCUUUUUCGGGUGUUAAAAAUUGAGAGAACCAUUCCCUUGUACGAGAGGACCGGGAAUGACGAACCUCUAGUGUAUCAGUUGUUGCGCCAGCAGCAUCGCUGAGUAGCUACGUUCGGAACGUAGAACUGCUGAAAGCAUCUCAAGCAGGAAUUCGUUUCUCAAAACAAGUUUUUGAGUCGUAGAAGACUACUACGUAAUAGGCGAGAUGUGUACUCAUAGUGAUAUGAAAGCUAACUCGUACUAACUCAUAUAAAGUCUCUAGAAA
Molecule: ribosomal RNA, 3002 nt
Filed under: Chlorella sp. ArM0029B
Lineage: Eukaryota; Viridiplantae; Chlorophyta; Trebouxiophyceae; Chlorellales; Chlorellaceae
Description: large subunit ribosomal RNA
Rfam family: Bacterial large subunit ribosomal RNA
Source: RNAcentral